This 406-nucleotide ribosomal RNA is filed under the name uncultured bacterium. RNAcentral's name for it is "partial 16S ribosomal RNA". It matches the Rfam family "Bacterial small subunit ribosomal RNA", at positions 30 to 526 of the family's 1533-position model. The record is from RNAcentral.
AUUGAACGCUGGCGGCAGGCCUUACACAUGCAAGUCGAACGAGAGGCGGACGGGUGAGUAAUGUCUGGGAAACUGCCCGAUGGAGGGGGACAACUACGGGAAACGGUAGCUACUACCGCACACCAUCGGAUGUGCCCAGAUGGGAUUAGCUAGUAGGUGGGGUAACGGCUCACCUAGGCGACGAUCCCUAGCUGGUCUGAGAGGAUGACCAGCCACACUGGAACUGAGACACGGUCCAGACUCCUACGGGAGGCAGCAGUGGGGAAUAUUGGACAAUGGGCGCAAGCCUGAUGCAGCCAUGCCGCGUGUGUGAAGAAGGCCUUCGGGUUGUAAAGUACUUUCGGCAGGGAGGCGUUACUCGCAGAAGAAGCACCGGCUAACUCCGUGCCAGCAGCCGCGGUAAUAC